Molecule: long non-coding RNA, 4193 nt
Filed under: Mytilus galloprovincialis (Mediterranean mussel)
Lineage: Eukaryota; Metazoa; Mollusca; Bivalvia; Mytilida; Mytilidae
Source: RNAcentral
CCCCUUAAAAAAAGGUCAAAUCUCUUCGGUCAAAAUGUAACAAAGUGCGCCGUAAUGACCCAAACAUUUUCCACUAUUUAAAACUUCUGUAAGUAUAAUAGUUUCUGAGAUUAUUCCAUAACAAGGUGAUAGGUCAAAGGUCAAGGUCAACAUACAAAUUUGACCUUGAGGUAUUUUUCAACAAUACAUCAAUUGAUGAUCAAUGGUGAAGAUCCUAGGUGUCUACGACUUACAGUUUCUGAGUUUUGGUGGUCAACCGACACCGGUAAAUUUUCAUAGGGGCAUAACCCUACCAAUGAGUCGUUGAAUCUUUUCGAUCCCAAUGUAACGAAGAACCGGGUCUGGUCCUGAACAAAUUUCACCCUUUGUUUUUUUCUACCUAUUACGGUUACGGUGUUGGAACGAUAACAAGGUUUUUGGUUUCGGAGGGAUAACUCCGAACCGACAAAAUAUUUCGACUCACAGGGUGAGUUCCAGAUAGGUAUUCAUGACACCGAUACAAAGUGUCAACAUGAAAGCGACACGUCUUACGGUUAACACGGCUAAAUUUGUCAAAGUUUGGCGGAAAAAGAAUAAUAAUAAUAAUAAUAAUAAUUAAAAUGUCAAUUGUUCUUGAACAAUUGAGAGGUCUUUCCUUUUAUAAUGUAAAAUAUAUGUUCAAAUAGACGUAGAAUGUAUUGAAAAGCUUUAAAAACACUGAAAAUCCUUUAAAAUAAGGUCAAAACACAUAAUUCGCUAUAUGGGACAUGACCUUGACCUUUGACCUUGUGACCUUUGUCAAGGUCAUUAGUCCCUGAUGUCAUUGCUGAAGACCCCAUGGGUCUAUGACCUUUGGUUAUAUAGUAAAAGCUGAUUUUGUCUUUUCAGAAACCUAAAUCAGGGGUUAUGCCCCGUACAGAAAGGUCAAAUCUCUUCGGUCAAAAUGUAACAAAGUUGCGCCUUAAUGACCCAAACAUUUUCCACUAUUCAAAACUUCUGUAAGUAUCAUGGUUUCUGAGAUUAUCCCAUAACAAGGUGUUAGGUCAAAGGUCAAGGUCAACAUACACAUUUGACCUUGAGGUAUUUUUCAAAGUCACAUGAAUUGAUGAUGAAUGGUGAAGAUCCUAGGUGUCUACGACUUUCGGUUUCUGAGUUUUGGUGGCCAACCGACACGGGUUAAUUUUCAUAGGGGCAUAACCCUACCAAUGAGUCGUUGAAUCUUUUCCAUCCAAAUGUAACGAAGAACCGGGGUCUGGUCCUGAACAAAUUUCACCCUUUGUUUUUUUUCUACCUAUUACGGUUACGGUGUUGGAACGAUAACAAGGUUUUUGGGUUCGGAGGGAUUACUCCGAACCGACAAAUAUUUUCGACUCACAGGGUGAGUUCCAGAUAGGUAUUCAUGACACCUAUACAAAGUGUGAAUAUGAAAGCGACACGUCUUACGGUUAACGCGGCUAAAUUUGUCAAAGUUUAACGGAAGAAUAAUAAUAAUAAUUAAACUGUCAAUUGUUCUUGAACAAUUGAGAGGUCUUCCCUUUUUUUAAUGUAAAAUACAUGUUCCAACAGACGUAGAAUGUAUUGAAAAGGUCAAGGUCAACCUUAAAAAGGUCGAAAACACACUAAAAAUCCUUUAAAUAAGGUCAAAAACACUAAAUUCGCUAUCUGGGACAUGACCUUGACCUUUGACCUUUUGACCUUUGUCAAGGUCAUUGAUCCCCAAUGCCAUUACUGAAGACCCCAAGGAUCUAGGACCUUUGGUUAUAUAGUAAAAGCUGAUUUUGUCUUUUCAAAAACCUAAAACAGGGGUUAUGCCCCUUAUAGAAAGGUCAAAUCUCUUUGGUCAAAAUGUAACAAAGUUGCGCCGUAAUGACCCAAUCAUUUUCCACUAUUUGAAUCCUCUGUAAGUAUUAAGGUUGCUUAGAUUAUACCAUAACAAGGUGUUAGGUCAAAGGUCAAGGUCAACAUACACAUUUGACCUUGAGGUAUUUUUCAAAGUCACUGAAUUGAUGAUGAAUGUGAAGAUCCUAGGUGUCUACGACUUACGGUUUUUGAGUUUUGGUGGCCAACCGACACCGGUUAAUUUUGAUAGGGGCAUAACCCUACCAAUGAGUCGUUGAAUCUUUUCGAUCCAAAUGUAACGAAGAACCGGGGUCUGUUCCUGAACAAAUUCCACCCUUUGGUUUUUUUCUACCUAUUAUGGUUAUGGAAUUUGAAUGAUAACAAGGUUUUUGGGUUUCGGAGGGAUUACUCCGAACCGACAAAAUAUUUCGACUCACAGGGUGAGUUCCGGAUAGGUAUUCAUGACACCGAUACAAAGUGUGAACAUGAAAGCGACACGUCUUACGGUUACGGAGGCUAACUUCGUCAAAGUUUGGCGGAACAAAAAGAAUAAUAAUAAUAAUAAUCAGAAGAAAUACAGUAAGGUCUUUCCCUUUAGUAAAAGGAAAGACCUUAAUUAAACUGUCAAUUGUUCUUGAACAAUUGAGAGGUCUUUCCUUUUGUAAUGUAAAAUACAUGUUCUUAUAGAUGUAGAAUCUAUUGAAAAGGUCAAGGUCAACCGUACAAAGCUUGAAAACACACUUAAAAUCCAUUAUAUGAGGUUAAAAACACUAAAUUCGCUAUCUGGGACAUGACCUUGACCUUUGACCUUUUGACCUUUGUCAAGGUCAUUAGUCCCCAAUGUCAUUGCAAAAGACCCCAUGGGUCUAGGACCUUUGGUUAUAUAGUAAAAGCUGAUUUUGUCUUUUCAGAAACCUAAAACAGGGGUUAUGCCCCUUAUUAAAAGGUCAAAUCUCUUUGGUCAAAAUGUAACAAAGUUGCGCCGUAAUGACCCAAACAUUUUCCACUAUUUAAAACUUCUGUAAGUAUAAUGGUUUCUGAGAUUAUCCCAUAACAAGGUGUUAGGUCAAAGGUCAAGGUCAACAUACAAAUUUGACCUUGAGGUAUUUUUCAAAGAUACAUGAAUUGAUGAUGAUUAGUGAAGAUCCUAGGUGUCUACGACUUACGGUUUCUGAGUUUUGGUGGCCAACCGACACCGGUUAAUUUUCAUAGGGGCAUAACCCUACCAAUGAGUCGUUGAAUCUUUUCGAUCCAAAUGUAAUGAAGAACCGGGGUCUGGUCCUGAACAAAUUUCACCCUUUGUUUUUUGUCUACCUAUUACGGUUACGGUGUUGGAACGAUAACAAGGUUUUUGGGUUUCGGAGGGAUUACUCCGAACCGACAAAAUAUUUCGACUCACAGGGUGAGUUCCAGAAAGGUAUUCAUGACACCUAUACAAAGUGUGAAUAUGAAAGCGACACGUCUUACGGUUAACGGGGCUAAAUUUGUCAAAGUUUAACGGAAGAAUAAUAAUAAUAAUUAAACUGUCAAUUGUUCUUGAACAAUUGAGAGGUCUUUCCUUUUUUAAUGUAAAAUACAUGUUCCAACAGACGUAGAAUGUAUUGAAAAGGUCAAGGUCAACCUUAAAAAGCUCGAAAACACACUAAAAAUCCUUUAUAUAAGGUUAAAAACACUAAUUUCGCUAUCUGGGACAUGACCUUGACCUUUGACCUUUUGACCUUUGUCAAGGUCAUUAGUUCCCAAUGCCAUUACUGAAGACCCCAAGGGUCUAGGACCUUUGGUUAAAUAGUAAAAGCUGAUUUUGUGUUUUCAGAAACCUAAAACAGGGGUUAUGCCCCUUAAAGAAAGGUCAAAUCUCUUUGGUCAAAAUGUAACAAAGUUGCGCCGUAAUGACCCAAACAUUUUCCACUAUUUAAAACUUCUGUAAGUAUAAUGGUUUUUGAGAUUAUCCCAUAACAAGGUGUUAGGUCAAAGGUCAAGGUCAACAUACAAAUUUGACCUUGAGGUAUUUUUUAAAGAUACAUGAAUUGAUGAUGAUUGGUGAAGAUCCUAGGUGUCUACGACUUACGGUUUCUGAGUUUUGGUGGCCAACCGACACCGGUUAAUUUUCAUAGGGGCAUAACCCUACUAAUGAGUCGUUGAAUCUUUUCGAUCCAAAUGUAACGAAGAACCAGGGUCUGGUCCUGAACAAAUUUCACCCUUUGUUUUUUUUCUACCUAUUACGGUUACGGUGUUGGAACGAUAACAAGGUUUUUGGGUUUCGGAGGGAUUACUCCGAACCGACAAAAUAUUUCGACUCACAGGGUGAGUUCCAGAUAGGUAUUCAUGACACCGAUACAAAGUGUGAACAUGAAAGCGACACGUCUUACGGUUAC